RNAcentral lists this long non-coding RNA (994 nucleotides) under Brassica napus (rape). Its description in RNAcentral is "long non-coding RNA (BNAP_LNC012144)". The record is from RNAcentral. Lineage: Eukaryota; Viridiplantae; Streptophyta; Magnoliopsida; Brassicales; Brassicaceae.
UUGGCGUUUCUAAACGCAAUCUUUGGCUUCUUGUGUGAGUUUGUUCUAUUGGGGUUGUUGUUAGCUUGCUUCAGGUCUUAAUAUGCUUGCCCGUGAUGUUUAGUUUCGAGUUUGAUUGUCUUAUUCUCGGUUUGUCUUGUGUUAGUUUGUUUAGGUUGUUGUGUGUGUUGUGUGUUCUUUUUUAUGUUUGUGUAUGGUUUUAAUUGUCUCGAAGGUUCAGUGGUGAGUAGAGACCGGAGUCUAUGUUCUUCCGCCCCAAUAAAUUGAGAGCAACCUGAUUACUGCAUUUUGCCACAUGUCAAUUAACAUAAUGUGCACGCUACCACAAUCACAUGGUAUAUCGAUGCAUCACUUUAGGAUCGAAUCCACAAAAAACUAGUGAUAUAUAACACUAAGAAUACACACAUUUUUCUAAUCUAACAAACUAAGAAUAUGGAUUACUGGUAACAAGCUAAGAUUCUAGAUAUAUAAACAUGUUAUCUCAAAUUCAAACAAUAAAUAAGUGCAAGAACUAAAAUUUCAAUCAAGUGCUAAGGAUGGAUCCAUGGACAAGGAUAAUUGAUAUAAGGUGGUCAAGGUUCUAUCUAGGAUGUUAAAAAACAAUCAACAAGUCUAUAGGUCUAGAUCUCAUUCUAAUAGACUAAUCCAAAUACUUCUUAUGCUAAUCAUGCAUUAAACAUCAACUCUCGUUGGCCUAACACAUUCAAGCAUGCAUAAAUCACAAGUCUACUAACCAUUUAACGUCCCCAAUAUCAAUUCUCAUUGGUUAGACAUGUAAAAGACAAUAUUAGGUUGGUUCAAGCAUUUAAUCGAACAUCUUUCGGACAUAAAAUUAUUUAAGCUCUAAAUCAACUUGAUCAAGCUUAAUCUAGCAUUAAGAACACCUAACAAGCAUAAAACAAUGUUAAUCAAGCAAGAAACACCCUAAAUAUCCACCUAAUCACCCAAUCCACCUAACCCAUGAAUCACAAGGUCACUACUCACUAAUCUCCAU